This is a non-coding RNA of Gasterosteus aculeatus aculeatus (three-spined stickleback), 3815 nucleotides long. NCBI's taxonomy places the organism in Eukaryota, Metazoa, Chordata, Actinopteri, Perciformes, Gasterosteidae. The record is from RefSeq and is a predicted model, not a curated record.
UGACGUAAUUACGUAGCAGCACGUCACGCACGCAACGCGUCCCUGUUCAGUUGACUGGGAAGCCCCUAGCGCGGAGCUGCCAACGCCCGGCGUAAAGACACAAAUAGAGGAUACGAUCUUGAAUGAGUAGACGACUGUAAAACGAAGCCAUGCAGACCAUCAAGUGUGUUGUAGUCGGGGACGGCGCGGUGGGUAAAACCUGCCUGCUCAUCUCCUACACCACAAACAAGUUCCCUUCUGAAUACGUACCUACGGUGUUUGAUAACUAUGCCGUCACGGUGAUGAUCGGAGGCGAGCCCUACACUCUGGGCUUGUUUGAUACAGCAGGUCAGGAGGACUACGACAGGCUACGGCCUCUGAGUUACCCGCAGACAGACGUCUUCCUCGUCUGCUUCUCCGUCGUGUCCCCCUCCUCCUUUGAAAAUGUCAAAGAAAAGUGGGUUCCAGAGAUCACCCACCACUGUCCAAAGACCCCGUUCCUGCUCGUCGGGACUCAGAUUGACUUGCGGGAUGACCCCUCCACCAUAGAGAAGCUGGCCAAGAACAAGCAGAAGCCCAUCACUCCGGAGACCGCCGAGAAACUGGCAAGAGACCUGAAGGCUGUGAAAUACGUGGAGUGCUCAGCCCUCACGCAGCGAGGGCUGAAGAAUGUGUUUGAUGAAGCUAUCCUAGCUGCCCUCGAGCCUCCUGAGACGCAGACAAAGAGGAAAUGCUGUCUAUUCUAAUCUCCUCCUCCUCCUCCACCUGUGAUGGCUGCUGCUUUCUGGCAUUUUUCAUUCAGUCACCCGAUCUCUCACAUUGGCUCUCCUUUCCUCUCUCCAUGUAUUUACAUGUGCUGCUUUUAUGGACCAGUCUCCACUGUUAAAAAGGCCAAUUAACCAACUGAAAUAAUGUUAGAAAGCGACCACUAGUAAAACCCUGUUCCAGUUCAGUUAGGACUUUAACUAGCAUUCGCGCGCCAUAGUCACUGCUAUGAGAGCAAAUUUAGUUUUAAGUGUCUUGCCCAAGGGCACAUCAACAUGGACACUAGUGGGGCCGGGGAUCGAACCACCGAUCCUCUGAUUGAAGGAUGUCGUUGCCUCCGAUGAGCCACAGUCGCCCACUUCAGAGUGCUGUUCUUCUCACGGCCUCAUCGUCACUUCACCCGUUGCCUUCCCUGAACUUUGGUCUGGUGGGUGUCACUCGCCUACGUCACAUCUGACCUGGGGGGGAUUUAAACACACCACCAGUCUUCGACGUAGAGACGAGCAAAGUAUCGGGUGCAGGCUGCGCGUGCUCUACGUGGGACGGCCAGAGGAGAACGCAGCCAUGCCCCAGGAUGUCUGCUGGCGUCGGCGUAAAAGCGUCUGCUGUGCUUCAAUCUGUAGGUCGAUAGUUGUUUUAGAGCAAAUAUGAUUCGCCCCCAGCGAGCCACACCUGCCUUCACCAGUAUGAUUCCUAGCUUUGUUCCUUCGGCCCCGGGCCAACCUAUGGAGCGGGAUAUUACUGAGGAUGUAGGAUGUCAUUUGGGAUGUGGCCAUUGUUUCAUUCAGCCCCCUCAGUAUUGUGUGUGUGUGUGAGACUUCACGUGGCUCCACGCUGAGGUUGAUCUCCUCACUAAACACAGCUACCAUUGUUAACGCUGCUGUAGAUUUAGUGUAAGUGAUAAAGUUGUACUUUAGAGUCGUGGCGACGGCGGCUCGUCGUCCGGUGUGUGUGGAGCGUUUGGCCACAUCGACAUUACCCGGCUGCUGUUUUGUUCCUUUUGAGGGCUUUUUAAGCGGUAAAACAAUUUGUUCUCCAUCACGGUGACCUGCUGAAUUACAAUCAGCGGUGUAUUCAAAGGGCUUUAAAGACCACGCUGUCUGUCAGGGUGCUGUCAGCUGUUUGCUGUCCAGGCUGCCGUCUCAUAAUCACAUAACAUAACCUCUUCCCCCCCGCGGAUAAAUUGUUGCCACGACAGCGCUGUCUUACUGCUCCGGUCGAUAGCGACACGGACAGACUUUUUUUAAAUCUGCAGAAAAAUGCUUUUCCCUGACUGGUUUGACCCGAGCUUUCUUUCCAUAUGACAAACGUGUCCAAGAACAAAGGCUCUAACUGUGAACCGAGCGGUGACGUGAGUGAAUGAAGGACACCUGAACCGGCUCUGCUCUUGUGCUCUGUGUGUUUCCGCUGCGUUGUGAGCGGAUUCAUUCUGGGUCACAAACCGAGUGGGUGGAAGCAGCUCACAGUACCUCGGAAAGCCCUAAAGAAUGUGUUUGAUGAGGCGAUACUGGCCGCACUGGAGCCCCCAGAACCCAAGAAGAAACGCAAAUGUGUGCUGCUAUGAGAGGGUGCUACCUUUUAAAGCAAACACACCCGCACACACAGUCAUCUUAAAUACACACACUCACACACUUAAAUACCCUUCCCCUGCCACGCCCCCCCCCCCCCCCCCCCUUUCCGUCCCUCUGCUGCGUUUGGUCAGCGGCUUCUGGAAAGAAGUUUUCAGAUAAAUCUCUGCAAUAAAAGAAGGAGCUUCAGCCGACAUGGCGGCGGGUGCUGGGGGGCGGGACCCAGAUACACAGCACACACACAAGUACAAUCCUUUUUGAAAGGGCGGGGGGGGGGGGGGGGGGUCAUUCCAUCAGUGCCGUGGCCCCGUGAACCCUUUGGAUGCCCAUAGCCCUAAGCCCCUCCUACACUUGACCCCCCCCCAAGCUGACGAGCACACUCAUUGGCUGAGCCCUAUGUUUCUGUCCCAGAGCUGCCAGAAUAAAUGCGAACACACAAGUAGUGUUUUAUUUCUGGUUUGCCAACCCCCCCCCUCCUUUUAUUUUCCUUGUCCCCCCCUCCUCCAACACACAACUCAUCAGAGAUAUUUAUUCCAGGUUCCAGAUAGAUGCUCCUAACCACUACGGAACCUGCGUAGGUCUGACAGGAUCUCAGCAACAAGCAAAACUGCACUCAGCGCUGAAUUUACAGACAUCGCCAUCUAGUGUCCAUCUGGAGCGCCGUAACCACUCGAAGAGCUCAGACGUAGGCGACUGCGAGGAAUCGGGCCUUUUUAGAUGCAGGGAACUUAAACAGUGUUAUGGGAGCAAGCGGCGUGCUCAUGCUGCUUUGUCGAGAGGGGGCGGGGGGGGCGCAAGGACGGCUUUUAACAUUGUCACCACCUCACACUUAGAACAGGUACAACAGAGACAGCCAAAUCAUCGUGAAACAGCCGACCAAUUACCCUCCCCGCCCCCCCCUGCCCCACAAGCCCGCGCCCCCAAGAACUGUGAACUGGGCGAGAGUGGUUGUUCUGUUGUGCCGCAUGCAGCCGGCUACGGGCGAUGGGGUGACAGAUUUAAAUAUAAUGUAAGCUGGCACACAAUGUUGAUGUAGGCUCCAGGUGUUUUUACCAAAACGUUUUUUUCUGUUUUUGUUCAUUCUUUUUGUUUGUUCUUUUUUUUUUUUUUGUGCUGUUUUUAUUUUAUUUUAUAAAUAUAUAUAUAAAUAUAUAAUUAAAAAAAUGGGUUACUUUCACUCCUUUUACAUUUAUGGGUGGGAACUCAUCUAAACUCUUCCCUGCCAGUUUAUACCAAGAUGAAGCUCUGAUGGGGUGGAUUUACCCCCCCCCCCCCCCCCCCCCCCAAAGGCAGAGACUGUUCUUAAAGAGGAUUUGUUUCUUGUUUUUUUUCUUUACUGAACAGCUUAGUUGGGUCGAUUUCCAGCCCACGUCAGUAUCAUUAUUAUAACCUGUUGUUGUUGUUUUGGUGCAAAACCAAAUGCUCUGUCGAAAAGUCUUUGUUCUUUGUAUAUGCAUUCUUUAAAAAAAAAAAAAAAUUAAACUUAUACCUUAAUUGCCUUUA